GACGAACGCUGGCGGCGUGCCUAAUACAUGCAAGUCGAACGAGAGCGACCGGUGCUUGCACUGGUCAAUCUAGUGGCGAACGGGUGAGUAACACGUGGGUAACCUGCCCAUCAGAGGGGGAUAACAUCCGGAAACGGAUGCUAAAACCGCAUAGGUCUUCGAACCGCAUGGUUUGAAGAGGAAAAGAGGCGCAAGCUUCUGCUGAUGGAUGGACCCGCGGUGCAUUAGCUAGUUGGUGAGGGAACGGCUCACCAAGGCCGUGAUGCAUAGCCGACCUGAGAGGGUGAUCGGCCACAUUGGGACUGAGACACGGCCCAAACUCCUACGGGAGGCAGCAGUAGGGAAUCUUCCGCAAUGGACGCAAGUCUGACGGAGCAACGCCGCGUGAGUGAAGAAGGUUUUCGGAUCGUAAAACUCUGUUGUUAGAGAAGAACAAGUGCUAGAGUAACUGUUAGCGCCUUGACGGUAUCUAACCAGAAAGCCACGGCUAACUACGUG
Molecule: ribosomal RNA, 498 nt
Filed under: uncultured bacterium
Lineage: Bacteria
Description: partial 16S ribosomal RNA
Rfam family: Bacterial small subunit ribosomal RNA
Source: RNAcentral